RNAcentral lists this ribosomal RNA (499 nucleotides) under uncultured bacterium. Its description in RNAcentral is "partial 16S ribosomal RNA". It matches the Rfam family "Bacterial small subunit ribosomal RNA", at positions 28 to 507 of the family's 1533-position model. The record is from RNAcentral.
GACGAACGCUGGCGGCGUGCCUAAUACAUGCAAGUCGAGCGAAGUUUUUCUGGUGCUUGCACUAGAAAAACUUAGCGGGGAACGGGUGAGUAACACGUAAAGAACCUGCCUCAUAGACUGGGACAACUAUUGGAAACGAUAGCUAAUACCGGAUAACAGUAUUUCUCGCAUGUGAGAUAUUUAAAAGUUGGUUAUGCUAACACUAUGAGAUGGCUUUGCGGUGCAUUAGCUAGUUGGUGGGGUAAAGGCCCACCAAGGCGACGAUGCAUAGCCGACCUGAGAGGAUGAUCGGCCACACUGGGACUGAGACACGGCCCAGACUCCUACGGGAGGCAGCAGUAGGGAAUCUUCCGCAAUGGGCGAAAGCCUGACGGAGCAACGCCGCGUGAGUGAAGAAGGAUUUCGGUUCGUAAAGCUCUUUUGUUAGGGAAGAAUGGAUAUUUAGUAACUAUACAUUUAAGUGACGGUACCUAAACAGAAAGCCACGGCUAACUACGUG